This 346-nucleotide ribosomal RNA is filed under the name uncultured bacterium. RNAcentral describes it as "partial 16S ribosomal RNA". It matches the Rfam family "Bacterial small subunit ribosomal RNA", at positions 338 to 681 of the family's 1533-position model. The record is from RNAcentral.
CCUACGGGAGGCAGCAGUGAGGAAUAUUGGUCAAUGGCCGAGAGGCUGAACCAGCCAAGUCGCGUGAGGGAAGACGGCCCUACGGGUUGUAAACCUCUUUUGUCGGGGAGCAAAGCGAGUCACGUGUGACUCAUUGAGAGGACCCGAAGAAAAAGCAUCGGCUAACUCCGGGCCAGCAGCCGCGGUAAUACGGAGGAUCCGAGCGUUAUCCGGAUUUAUUGGGUUUAAAGGGAGCGGAGAUGGGUUGUUAAGUCAGUUGGGAAAGUUUGCGGCUCAACCGGAAAAUUGCCAUUGAUACUGGCAGUCUUGAGUACAGUUGCGGUAGGCGGAUUUCGUGGUGUAGCGG